Molecule: long non-coding RNA, 729 nt
Organism: Talpa occidentalis (Iberian mole)
Lineage: Eukaryota; Metazoa; Chordata; Mammalia; Eulipotyphla; Talpidae
Exons: 3
Source: RefSeq, a predicted model, not a curated record
CCUUGGCGUGCGCAGAGGCCCAUAUGACGACACCAGAUGCUGAGAAAAGCCAGAAGCUUUACUGCAAAUCAAUUGCAAGGAGGCAGGAGGUAGACUCGGAUCCGCUUCCCCAGCCGGGAAAGGAAAAGGGUUUAUUUGACUUGGGGAGGCCCCGUUGAGAACAAAGGAGUUAACUUCUAUUGGCUGAAAAGUGGGUUGGGGUAAAGAAAUGUGAACUUGGUCGACGUUCAUUGACAGCGGAGGGGCAGUUCGUACAUGGAGAAGGAUGUCUGUGGGCCGCUGGAGAUCUGAAUCUCUGCGGGGGGGCCCCUCAGCGCCCGGCAGCCUCCAUCCUCCGUGCCUGCAGCCUCCUGGCUGCAGCCAGCCUUGGAGCUCAGCUCAACUUUGGUCACUUCUUGUUCAAGCUGUGUCAUCUGCACCUGUGACUACGAGUCUCGAAGAGGUUGGUGAUGGAGGGGGAGCCUGGGGAUCACAGCCAAGAUGAAUCAGCCCCAGUCCUGAGAAGCUCAAAGCUCAGUGAAGAAUAGGACGUGAAAACCCACCGUCACACAGGACGUCUGGGUCAUUUGCCUCAGACAGUCGAGGGAACUCGGACAGACGCCCUGAGGAUGGAGCCUGUGGCUGUUAGCUGCCCCGGGAACCGGAUGUCGCAGCAGUCAGUGACAUCUCCCUCUGCCGUACAGCAUUUCAACUUCACGCAGCCAAUCGUACACAGCGGAUUAAAAAAAG